Molecule: ribosomal RNA, 658 nt
Filed under: uncultured Vibrionaceae bacterium
Lineage: Bacteria; Pseudomonadati; Pseudomonadota; Gammaproteobacteria; Vibrionales; Vibrionaceae
Description: bacterial SSU rRNA
Rfam family: Bacterial small subunit ribosomal RNA
Source: RNAcentral
UCAGAUUGAACGCUGGCGGCAGGCCUAACACAUGCAAGUCGAGCGGUAACAGGAAUUAGCUUGCUAACUCGCUGACGAGCGGCGGACGGGUGAGUAAUGCCUGGGAAUAUGCCUUAGUGUGGGGGAUAACUAUUGGAAACGAUAGCUAAUACCGCAUAAUGUCUUCGGACCAAAGAGGGGGACCUUCAGGCCUCUCGCGCUAAGAUUAGCCCAGGUGAGAUUAGCUUGUUGGUGAGGUAAGAGCUCACCAAGGCGACGAUCUCUAGCUGGUCUGAGAGGAUGAUCAGCCACACUGGAACUGAGACACGGUCCAGACUCCUACGGGAGGCAGCAGUGGGGAAUAUUGCACAAUGGGCGCAAGCCUGAUGCAGCCAUGCCGCGUGUAUGAAGAAGGCCUUCGGGUUGUAAAGUACUUUCAGUGGGGAGGAAGGUGUUGUCGUUAAUAGCGGCAGCAUUUGACGUUACCCACAGAAGAAGCACCGGCUAACUCCGUGCCAGCAGCCGCGGUAAUACGGAGGGUGCGAGCGUUAAUCGGAAUUACUGGGCGUAAAGCGCAUGCAGGUGGUUCAUUAAGUCAGAUGUGAAAGCCCGGGGCUCAACCUCGGAACCGCAUUUGAAACUGGUGAACUAGAGUGCUGUAGAGGGGGGUAGAAUUUCA